ACAUAUUGUAGGUAGAGAUACGCUGUAUACUCGUGGAAAUCGAAUUAACGUGUAAGCGGUAUGUGCUACCGUCGAACCACUAGUCGCCUUUUCAGGGCGUUUUUUAUAU
This 109-nucleotide non-coding RNA is filed under the name unclassified sequences. The record is from Rfam.